GGAAUUGCUGAAGUUGUGAAGGUUGAUGCUGUGAAUGCGCUCGGUCAUCCCCUUGCAACUGAUGUCACCUGCAGCAUGUCAACGCAGACACAAAACAGGGCAUGGGUCAGAUCUAGCUGGUUGCAUUCCUAACACCUAGGUUUCAGAGUAAAAAUACAGAGUCAGCUUGUGAUGGCAUUCCCUCAAAACAUGGAAGGAAUUGCAGUAAUGAAAGUCAUCAUGUAUUCUAAGAGACUGUUCUGCGAGAGCACAACACAGACGGGGCUAAAGCAGGGUGAGAAGCAAAAGUGCUCAGGAGUUAAGAGAAGCAGACGUCCGAAAUUAUCUCCAUGCAUUACCAAAAACCGUGGGCACCACGGCACGGGGAAAACUUACCAGGUACAAUGAGCCAGUGACUGUUACUGAAUUUCUUAAGAUUACACUUUUCCCAACUACUGCAGACUGCUUCAGAAUAGAAGAAGACAACUCUCAUGCCAUCAAGCCGACGGACUUUCAAAAAAAUAAAAGAUGCAUUUCUUUACUUGUAAGUAUUUGUCUUU
RNAcentral lists this long non-coding RNA (539 nucleotides) under Homo sapiens (human). Its description in RNAcentral is "ZBTB20 antisense RNA 1". Lineage: Eukaryota; Metazoa; Chordata; Mammalia; Primates; Hominidae. The record is from RNAcentral.